AAAGUACUCCCUCCGUCCCAAAAUUCUUGUCUUAGAUUUCUCUAGAUACGGAUGUAUCAAGUCACAUUUUAGUAUUAGAUACAUCCGUAUCUAGACAAAUCUAAGACAAGAAAUUUGGGACAGAGGGAGUAGUUG
This is a non-coding RNA of Triticum aestivum (bread wheat), 135 nucleotides long. NCBI's taxonomy places the organism in Eukaryota, Viridiplantae, Streptophyta, Magnoliopsida, Poales, Poaceae. The record is from Rfam.